UACCUUUGGGGCCGUAAAGCGCGCGUAGGCGGCUGGUCAAGUCGGAUGUGAAAGCCCCUGGCUCAACUGGGGGAGGCCAUUCGAUACUGAUCGGCUUGAGGGUGAGAGAGGAAAGUGGAAUUCCCGGUGUAGCGGUGGAAUGCGUAGAGAUCGGGAGGAACACCAGUGGCGAAAGCGGCUUUCUGGCUCACUCCUGACGCUGAGGGCGCGACAGCGUGGGGAGCAAACGGGAUUAGAUACCCCGGUAGUCCACGCUCUAAACGAUGAGGGCUGGGUGUCGGUUCCAUUCGGAAUCGGUGCCGAAGCAAACGCGUUAAGCCCUCCGCCUGGGGACUACGAACGCAAGUUUAAAACUCAAAGGAAUAGACGGGGGCCCGCACAAGCAGCGGAGCGUGUGGUUCAAUUCGAUGCGACACGAAGAACCUUACCAGGGCUUGACAUGUAUGUGGUAGGGAAGUGAAAGCGGACCGACCCGCAAGGGAGCAUACACAGGUGUUGCAUGGCUGUCGUCAGCUCGUGCCGUGAGGUGUUGGGUUAAGUCCCGCAACGAGCGCAACCCUUGUCCUGUGUUGCCAUGGGAGCAAUCCCGGAACUCGCAGGAGACCGCCAGCGAUAAGUUGGAGGAAGGUGGGGAUGACGUCAAGUCCUCAUGGCCUUUAUGUCCAGGGCUACACACGUGCUACAAUGGGCGGUACAAAGCGCAGCAAACCCGCGAGGGGGAGCCAAUCGCAAAAAACCGUUCUCAGUUCGGAUUGCAGGCUGCAACUCGCCUGCAUGAAGCUGGAAUCGCUAGUAAUGGCAGAUCAGCACGCUGCCGUGAAUACGUUCCCGGGCCUUGUACACACCGCCCGUCACAUCACGAAAGUGAAUUGUACUAGAAGCCUGCAGCCGACCCGCAAGGGGGGCAGCGGUCCAAGGUAUGAUUCAUGAUUGGGGUGAAGUCGUAACAAGGUAAC
Molecule: ribosomal RNA, 956 nt
Filed under: uncultured bacterium
Lineage: Bacteria
Description: bacterial SSU rRNA
Rfam family: Bacterial small subunit ribosomal RNA
Source: RNAcentral